UUUAAAAGUUAUUCAUGCACAAAGCACAUGUUACAAAGUAAAUUAUUUGAGAUAAGACAGCAUUUCUCAAUUAUGAAGAGAUAGAGUGCAUCCAUGUUGAAGUUUUAGACAUAAAUUCUUCAAUUUCUUCACAUUGUACCCAUGAUGGAAUCUCGAUCAUACUAAAAUUCUCACUUCCAUUUUUUGUAUUUCUUCUAUAUUCAUUAUCGUUGCCAUCUUUUCCAUCAUUAUCAAGAUCAAAAUAAUUUUUAAAACUCUCAUUUCAAUAAUCUACUAGCAACAACAUAAUUUGCAACAUUGUGGGUGACCAUAUGGACCACAUGUUGUGAACUCACAAUUAACACAACAUCUUGAAAUAAC
This 360-nucleotide long non-coding RNA is filed under the name Olea europaea (common olive). Its description in RNAcentral is "long non-coding RNA (OEUR_LNC012710)". The record is from RNAcentral. Lineage: Eukaryota; Viridiplantae; Streptophyta; Magnoliopsida; Lamiales; Oleaceae.